This 595-nucleotide ribosomal RNA is filed under the name uncultured bacterium. Its description in RNAcentral is "bacterial SSU rRNA". It matches the Rfam family "Bacterial small subunit ribosomal RNA", at positions 956 to 1533 of the family's 1533-position model. The record is from RNAcentral.
GCAACGCGAAGAACCUUACCUGGGCUAGACAACAGCGGACCGUCCUAGAAAUAGGAUUUUCCUUUCGGGGACCGCUGGUUCAGGUGCUGCAUGGCUGUCGUCAGCUCGUGCCGUGAGGUGUUGGGUUAAGUCCCGCAACGAGCGCAACCCUCGUACUUAGUUGCCACCAUUCAGUUGGGCACUCUAGGUAGACUGCCGGCGUUAAGCCGGAGGAAGGUGGGGACGACGUCAAGUCAUCAUGGCCCUUAUGUCCAGGGCCACACACGUGCUACAAUGGACGGUACAAAGGGUCGCGAACCCGCGAGGGGGAGCCAAUCCCAAAAAGCCGUUCUCAGUUCGGAUUGGAGUCUGCGACUCGACUCCAUGAAGUUGGAAUCGCUAGUAAUCGCGGAUCAGCACGCCGCGGUGAAUACGUUCCCGGGCCUUGUACACACCGCCCGUCACACCAUGGAAGCCAGCUGUACCGGAAGUCGGUGCAUUAACCCGCAAGGGAGAUAGCCGCCUAUGGUAUGACUGGUGACUGGGGUGAAGUCGUAACAAGGUAGCCGUAGGGGAACCUGCGGCUGGAUCACCUCCUAAUCUAGAUGCAUCGCAU